CCUACGGGGGGCAGCAGUCGAGAAUCAUUCACAAUGGGGGAAACCCUGAUGGUGCGACGCCGCGUGGGGGAAUGCAGGUCUUCGGAUUGUAAACCUCUGUCAUGUGGGAGCAAAUUAAAAAGAUAGUACCACAAGAGGAAGAGACGGCUAACUCUGUGCCAGCAGCCGCGGUAAUACAGAGGUCUCAAGCGUUGUUCGGAAUCACUGGGCGUAAAGCGUGCGUAGGCUGUUACGUAAGUCGUGUGUGAAAGGCGCGGGCUCAACCCGCGGACGGCACAUGAUACUGCGAGACUAGAGUGAUGGAGAGGGAACCGGAAUUCUCGGUGUAGCAGUGAAAUGCGUAGAUAUCGAGAGGAACACUCGUGGCGAAGGCGGGUUCCUGGACAUUAACUGACGCUGAGGCACGAAGGCCAGGGGAGCGAAAGGGAUUAGAUACCCGAGUAGUC
Molecule: ribosomal RNA, 446 nt
Filed under: uncultured bacterium
Lineage: Bacteria
Description: partial 16S ribosomal RNA
Rfam family: Bacterial small subunit ribosomal RNA
Source: RNAcentral